RNAcentral lists this long non-coding RNA (458 nucleotides) under Chrysolophus pictus (golden pheasant). RNAcentral describes it as "lncRNA (ENSCPIG00010001233.1)". The record is from RNAcentral. Lineage: Eukaryota; Metazoa; Chordata; Aves; Galliformes; Phasianidae.
UCCUCUUAUACUCUGCACUUUUCAGGUGAGACUUCUGUUGUUUCAGGAAUCACUGAGAAGAAACAUUGAGGCUGGGGAUUGACAACAGCCAGGGCUGUUCAUGCAAUGACCAAGGAAGAAGUUGAGCAUGGACAAUGGAGAAGUUUUUGUUAAGAAACAAGCAAAAUGUUUUCUCCCUGAAGAAGAAAGAGGAGGAUGAAGCAGCAGAAGACAAUGUGGAAAGAAAACAGGCAGAACAAAAGGAAGUUUCACAGAUAAAGAUGUUUGGAAAUCUUAAAGUAAACAAAUAAAUAAAUCAACCAAACCCAAAAGCCAUCAAUAUCAAGAACUUCAAGGCUUGUAAAUUAGCACAACUCACUGAGAAGCUCUUCUGGUCUAUGGUCCUGCAUCAGAUAUUUCUGCAGCUUUGGAAUGAUGCAAGCUAUGGGGAAAAAAAGUAACAUAUUGAUGCAUAAGCC